GAGAGUGACAGGACAAUAUGUAACCUUAUUUAUAACUUAUUCGAUUAAUUUAAUCCUACUAUUAAAUCCUAUAUUUAAUUAAUUUUAGUAAUUGCAUUUCAGAUAAUCCUAUUAAAAACUAUAUGUUAUUUGAACAAAAAUUUAAGUUAUAACUUAUUUUUAAACAACCACACACAAACUUUAUUAAUAGUAAAUAAAAUUGAGGAUUAUCAAAUUAUUAUCCAAAAUUCUCUAAAAAGAAUAAAUAACUGCCAUACAAUUUAGGUUUUUAUGUACUACCUAAAAUAAAAUACAUACCUGGAUUCUAUCCCAGUUUUGUCAAUUUUUUUUUUUAUUUAUUAAUAAAAUUUUUAAUUUGUAACUAAUAAACUAUUUUAUUAGUGAUAAUUAUAUAUUUACCGCCCCGGU
This 408-nucleotide ribosomal RNA is filed under the name Mesocyclops pehpeiensis. RNAcentral's name for it is "partial 12S ribosomal RNA". Lineage: Eukaryota; Metazoa; Arthropoda; Copepoda; Cyclopoida; Cyclopidae. The record is from RNAcentral.